This 72-nucleotide transfer RNA is filed under the name Otophryne steyermarki. Its description in RNAcentral is "tRNA-Gln". It matches the Rfam family "tRNA". From Rfam's summary of the family: Transfer RNA (tRNA) molecules are approximately 80 nucleotides in length. Their secondary structure includes four short double-helical elements and three loops (D, anti-codon, and T loops). Lineage: Eukaryota; Metazoa; Chordata; Amphibia; Anura; Microhylidae. The record is from RNAcentral.
UAGAAAGUAGCAUAGUUGGGAGUGCAAGGGGCUUUGAUUCCCUAAGUACAGGUUCAAUUCCUGUUUUUCUAG